ACAUGCAAGUGGUAGGAAGGCCGAAACGGUGACCGACCCUUCGGGGAGGCUUGCACAGGUGCUGCAUGGCUGUCGUCAGCUCGUGUCGUGAGAUGUUCGGUUAAGUCCGCUAACGAGCGCAACCCUCGCUGUGUGUUAUAUGUGUCACACGGGACUGCCGGUCUUAAGCCGGAGGAAGGUGGGGAUGAUGUCAAGUCAGCAUGGCCUUUAUAUCCUGGGCUACACACACGCUACAAUGGCCAACACAAUAGGUUGCUAAGCCGCGAGGUGGCGCCAAUCCAUAAAGUUGGUCUCAGUUCAGAUUGUAGGCUGCAACCCGCCUGCAUGAAGAUGGAGUUGCUAGUAACCGCAGGUCAGCUAUACUGCGGUGAAUACGUUCCCGGGGCUU
RNAcentral lists this ribosomal RNA (388 nucleotides) under uncultured Leptolinea sp. Its description in RNAcentral is "bacterial SSU rRNA". It matches the Rfam family "Bacterial small subunit ribosomal RNA", at positions 984 to 1382 of the family's 1533-position model. Lineage: Bacteria; Bacillati; Chloroflexota; Anaerolineae; Anaerolineales; Anaerolineaceae. The record is from RNAcentral.